Ornithodoros turicata is the source of this 662-nucleotide long non-coding RNA. RefSeq lists it as uncharacterized. The record is from RefSeq and is a predicted model, not a curated record. Lineage: Eukaryota; Metazoa; Arthropoda; Arachnida; Ixodida; Argasidae. The transcript has 3 exons.
GCGAUAGGACCUCGUUCCGGAUGUAAUAGGAUAUCGCCACUCGACCGACGCGAACCAAAAAAGAAAGAAAGGAAUGCACGUUCGCUAUACCUCCAUGAAGAAAACGGUGCCGUGCUUCUACGCAGCGAUCAUCAUACAGGAGGGGCGCGAGGAUUCACUUCUCUCUUGGACACUGACGGGUCUGGACACGCAAAUUCUGCUCCUGGUAAUUGCAUUGGCCGUCAGUGGAAGAGCGUAGCUUCGGUGGGGUUCUGUCUGCCUCUGAUGGGGUGCGGAUGUGUGGUUCGUCACUGGUGAAUGGUGUUCGACGAUGCAGGUGGAUUUUGUGACGAGCGGAUUUACAAUGAGGGAAUGCUGUGAACGGGAAAAAUGAUGAGCUGUCCUAACCUGCCCAGACAUGCCAUGAUGACGUCACAGCUGACGUCACAGGAUGUCCGGAACUUGUGGUCAUAGCUGCGAUGCUUUGCAACCUGCCUCUGUGCUCCGUCGCCCAGCGACGGUCAGCGGCCGUUUCGGGCCGCUUUCUUCACGAUGACGUCGUUGAUCUUCAACUAAACUCCUUCUCUGCACUCUAUCUCUAUCUAUUUUUUUAUUUUUUAUGGACACAACGCUCGGGUGGUCUGGACACGAGUUAGACGUUUCCCAAUUAGUGUGGUGGCUCC